This 414-nucleotide long non-coding RNA is filed under the name Felis catus (domestic cat). Its description in RNAcentral is "lncRNA (ENSFCAG00000049016.1)". Lineage: Eukaryota; Metazoa; Chordata; Mammalia; Carnivora; Felidae. The record is from RNAcentral.
UAUGAUUGGUCAGUAAUUCACUGUAACUGUAUGCCUGUGCAGCUUAUAAUCAAGUUAUAACUGGGAAAGGCCUGGGAAAUCAUCUGGCCCAACCCUCUGUGUUUACAAAUAAGGACCUAAGGACACCCUUCCCAAGGUCAUGUGUGCUCUAAGCAUGGAACAAGUCUUCCUAUUGGAAUACACAUCUCUGUCUGGGAGACUUGGGAACACACAAAGACAAAGCAGACAUUCGGCUUGAUUUACUCAGGUGGAGGGGAGACACCAAGAACGUGCCAGACACAUUUCGUUCAGCGGCAAGCUGAUCACCUCUUCACCGCUAACGCCCCUCAGUGAAGAACAACCGGAAGAAUUUUCUUUUUUUUUUUUAAUUUUUUUUCAACGUUUUUAUUUAUUUUUGAGAGAGAGAAAGAGAAA